RNAcentral lists this ribosomal RNA (499 nucleotides) under uncultured bacterium. RNAcentral's name for it is "partial 16S ribosomal RNA". It matches the Rfam family "Bacterial small subunit ribosomal RNA", at positions 30 to 523 of the family's 1533-position model. The record is from RNAcentral.
AUUGAACGCUGGCGGAAUGCUUUACACAUGCAAGUCGAACGGCAGCACGGACUUCGGUCUGGUGGCGAGUGGCGAACGGGUGAGUAACAUAUCGGAACGUAUCCAAUAAUGGGGAUAACGAGUCGAAAGAUUCGCUAAUACCGCAUACGCCCUACGGGGGAAAGCUGGGGACCUUCGGGCCUGGCGUUAAUGGAGCGGCCGAUAUCUGAUUAGCUAGUUGGUGAGGUAAAGGCUCCCCAAGGCGACGAUCAGUAGCUGGUCUGAGAGGACGACCAGCCACACUGGAACUGAGACACGGUCCAGACUCCUACGGGAGGCAGCAGUGGGGAAUUUUGGACAAUGGGCGCAAGCAUGAUCCAGCCAUUCCGCGUGAGUGAAGAAGGCCUUCGGGUUGUAAAGCUCUUUCGCAAGGGAAGAAAACUUAGCCACUAACAUUGGUUGAGGUUGACGGUACCUUGAUAAGAAGCACCGGCUAACUACGUGCCAGCCGCCGCAGUAA